RNAcentral lists this ribosomal RNA (489 nucleotides) under uncultured bacterium. RNAcentral describes it as "partial 16S ribosomal RNA". It matches the Rfam family "Bacterial small subunit ribosomal RNA", at positions 28 to 507 of the family's 1533-position model. The record is from RNAcentral.
GAUGAACGCUAGCUACAGGCUUAACACAUGCAAGUCGAGGGGCAGCAUGAUUGAAGCUUGCUUCAUUCGAUGGCGACCGGCGCACGGGUGAGUAACACGUAUCCAACCUGCCGAUAACUCGGGGAUAGCCUUUCGAAAUAAAGAUUACUACCCGAUAUUAUAGUAUUUCCGCAUGGUUUCACUAUUAAAGAACUUCUGUUAUCGAUGGGGAUGCGUUCCAUUAGAUAGUUGGCGGGGUAACGGCCCACCAAGUCAACGAUGGAUAGGGGUUAGGAGAGGAAGGUCCACCAGAAUGGAACUGAGACACGGACCAAACUCGUACGGGAGGCAGGAGUGAGGAAUAGUGGUGAAUGGACGAGAGUCUGAACCAGCCAAGUAGAGUGAAGGAGGACUGCCGUAUGGGUUGUAAACUUCUGGUAUACGGGAAUAAAGUGGAGUAUGCAUACUCCAUUGUAGGUACCGUAUGAAGAAGGAUCGGCUAACUCCGUG